Molecule: ribosomal RNA, 1274 nt
Filed under: metagenome
Description: bacterial LSU rRNA
Rfam family: Bacterial large subunit ribosomal RNA
Source: RNAcentral
CCCCGUACCGCAAACCGACACAGGUAGUCGGGUCGAGAAGACCAAGGUGAGCGAGAGAACUCUCGUUAAGGAACUCGGCAAAAUGACCCCGUAACUUCGGGAGAAGGGGUGCUGAUCGCAAGAUCAGCCGCAGUGAAUAGGCCCAGGCGACUGUUUAUCAAAAACACAGGUUUCUGCAAAAUCGUAAGAUGAAGUAUAGGGGCUGACGCCUGCCCGGUGCUGGAAGGUUAAGAGGAUGGGUUAGCGUAAGCGAAGCUCAGAAUUGAAGCCCCAGUAAACGGCGGCCGUAACAAUAACGGUCCUAAGGUAGCGAAAUUCCUUGUCGGGUAAGUUCCGACCCGCACGAAAGGCGUAACGAUCUGGGCACUGUCUCAACGAGAGACUCGGUGAAAUUAUAAUACCCGUGAAGAUGCGGGUUACCCGCGACAGGACGGAAAGACCCCAUGGAGCUUUACUGUAGCUUGAUAUUGGGUGUUUGUACAACUUGUACAGGAUAGGUAGGAGCCGUAGAAGUCGGGACGCUAGUUUCGACGGAGGCAUCGGUGGGAUACUACCCUCGUUGUAUGAACACUCUAACCCACGCCGGCAAUCACGGCGGGAGACAGUGUCAGGUGGGCAGUUUGACUGGGGCGGUCGCCUCCUAAAAGGUAACGGAGGCGCCCAAAGGUUCCCUCAGAAUGGUUGGAAAUCAUUCGCAGAGUGUAAAGGCAUAAGGGAGCUUGACUGCGAGACCUACAAGUCGAGCAGGGACGAAAGUCGGGCUUAGUGAUCCGGUGGUUCCGCAUGGAAGGGCCAUCGCUCAACGGAUAAAAGCUACCCUGGGGAUAACAGGCUUAUCUCCCCCAAGAGUCCACAUCGACGGGGAGGUUUGGCACCUCGAUGUCGGCUCAUCGCAUCCUGGGGCUGUAGUCGGUCCCAAGGGUUGGGCUGUUCGCCCAUUAAAGCGGUACGCGAGCUGGGUUCAGAACGUCGUGAGACAGUUCGGUCCCUAUCCGUCGCGGGCGCAGGAAAUUUGAGAGGAUCUGUCCUUAGUACGAGAGGACCGGGAUGGACAUACCGCUGGUGUACCAGUUGUUCUGCCAAGGGCAUCGUUGGGUAGCUAUGUAUGGAUGAGAUAAACGCUGAAAGCAUCUAAGUGCGAAACUCACCUCGAGAUAAGAUUUCCCACUCCUUUAUGGAGUUAAGACCCCUGAGAGAUGAUCAGGUAGAUAGGAUGGAAGUGGAAGUGCGGCGACGCAUGGAGCGGACCAUUACUAAUCGGUCGAGGACUUAAC